UAGGGGUAAGCUUUGUAGAAGUAUUUAAUUUUUACUUAAAUGAGAUAAUACUAUGUAUUAUACCUUUAG
This 69-nucleotide transfer RNA is filed under the name Botrylloides violaceus. Its description in RNAcentral is "transfer RNA-Lys". Lineage: Eukaryota; Metazoa; Chordata; Ascidiacea; Stolidobranchia; Styelidae. The record is from RNAcentral.